This 800-nucleotide ribosomal RNA is filed under the name uncultured Lacibacter sp. Its description in RNAcentral is "bacterial SSU rRNA". It matches the Rfam family "Bacterial small subunit ribosomal RNA", at positions 9 to 803 of the family's 1533-position model. The record is from RNAcentral. Lineage: Bacteria; Pseudomonadati; Bacteroidota; Chitinophagia; Chitinophagales; Chitinophagaceae.
GAGUUUGAUCCUGGCUCAGGAUGAACGCUAGCGGCAGGCUUAAUACAUGCAAGUCGAGGGGCAGCGCAGUGUAGCAAUACAUGGGCGGCGACCGGCAAACGGGUGCGGAACACGUACGCAACCUUCCUUUAACUGGGAGAUAGCCCACCGAAAGGUGGAUUAAUAUCCCAUAGUAUAUUUGAAUGGCAUCAUUUGAAUAUUAAAGCUCCGGCGGUUAAAGAUGGGCGUGCGUCUGAUUAGGUAGUUGGCGGGGUAACGGCCCACCAAGCCGACGAUCAGUAGCUGAUGUGAGAGCAUGAUCAGCCACACGGGCACUGAGACACGGGCCCGACUCCUACGGGAGGCAGCAGUAAGGAAUAUUGGUCAAUGGACGCAAGUCUGAACCAGCCAUGCCGCGUGGAGGAUGAAGGUCCUCUGGAUUGUAAACUUCUUUUCUUUGGGACGAAACCCCUGUUUCUACGGGGACUGACGGUACCAGAGGAAUAAGCACCGGCUAACUCCGUGCCAGCAGCCGCGGUAAUACGGAGGGUGCAAGCGUUAUCCGGAUUCACUGGGUUUAAAGGGAGCGUAGGUGGACUUUUAAGUCAGUGGUGAAAUCUCUGGGCUUAACCCGGAAACUGCCAUUGAUACUAUUAGUCUUGAAUUCUCUGGAGGUAAGCGGAAUAUGUCAUGUAGCGGUGAAAUGCUUAGAUAUGACAUAGAACACCCAUUGCGAAGGCAGCUUACUACGGAGACAUUGACACUGAGGCUCGAAAGCGCGGGGAUCAAACAGGAUUAGAUACCCUGGUAGUCCACGCCCU